RNAcentral lists this transfer RNA (71 nucleotides) under Gossypium hirsutum (cotton). It matches the Rfam family "tRNA". Rfam says of the family: Transfer RNA (tRNA) molecules are approximately 80 nucleotides in length. Their secondary structure includes four short double-helical elements and three loops (D, anti-codon, and T loops). Further hydrogen bonds mediate the characteristic L-shaped molecular structure. tRNAs have two regions of fundamental functional importance: the anti-codon, which is responsible for specific mRNA codon recognition, and the 3' end, to which the tRNAs corresponding amino acid is attached (by aminoacyl-tRNA synthetases). tRNAs cope with the degeneracy of the genetic code in two manners: having more than one tRNA (with a specific anti-codon) for a particular amino acid; and 'wobble' base-pairing, i.e. permitting non-standard base-pairing at the 3rd anti-codon position. Lineage: Eukaryota; Viridiplantae; Streptophyta; Magnoliopsida; Malvales; Malvaceae. The record is from Rfam by way of RNAcentral.
GGGCAUUUGGUCUACUGGUAUGAUUUUCGCUUCGGGUGCGAAGGUCCCGAGUUCGAUUCUCGGAAUGCCCC